Molecule: non-coding RNA, 31 nt
Filed under: Homo sapiens (human)
Lineage: Eukaryota; Metazoa; Chordata; Mammalia; Primates; Hominidae
Source: RNAcentral
UCACUGGCCAUGAUUCUGCACACAAUGCUGC